AUCAAAAUUGCUAUGCACACACAUUCAGCAUAUUUCACACAUCGUAGCCGACAGAGAGCACAUAAGAAUAAUGUGCGACACGUUCGGGCAUAAACCGAAUUAAGUAUACGCCGCGUUUGCCGGUCGGAGGACCUAGCCCCGAGUACCAAAGCCCGGAGUCGCACAGCCGGAGUGUCGAAAUACCGGACUCCAAGCCGCAAGAACCAACCACACACACACACACACACACACGCACGUAAACACACUUUACGCCAAGUCGCAUCUUUAUGCGUUGUAGCUGCUCCAAAGUGGCAAGCAAACACCCCACUCCGCCCACAAUUUUGCCAACCGACAGCAUGUGCU
Molecule: non-coding RNA, 342 nt
Organism: Drosophila melanogaster (fruit fly)
Lineage: Eukaryota; Metazoa; Arthropoda; Insecta; Diptera; Drosophilidae
Source: Ensembl